UACGAAGGGGGCUAGCGUUGCUCGGAAUUACUGGGCGUAAAGGGCGCGUAGGCGGAUAGUUUAGUCAGAGGUAAAAGCCCAGGGCUCAACCUUGGAACUGCCUUUGAUACUGGCUAUCUUGAGUUCGGGAGAGGUGAGUGGAAUGCCGAGUGUAGAGGUGAAAUUCGUAGAUAUUCGGCGGAACACCAGUGGCGAAGGCGACUCACUGGCCCGAUACUGACGCUGAGGUGCGAAAGCGUGGGGAGCGAACAGG
Molecule: ribosomal RNA, 253 nt
Filed under: uncultured bacterium
Lineage: Bacteria
Description: partial 16S ribosomal RNA
Rfam family: Bacterial small subunit ribosomal RNA
Source: RNAcentral